CCGCGGCGCGGAGGCCCGGAGCGCUUGCCUCAGUUCCACCUCCAUCUAGAACACCAGCGGCCGGAUGAGGCCACUCCGCCAUGCCUCCGUCUCUGUCCAACCAAAUCAGACGGCGGAGGCAAACCGUAGAGUGGUUGGCGGCCGUGCGGCGCGAGAUUGAGGUCGACAAUGGUUGCCGCAGCAGGAAUAGGUAGCCCAUGGAGAUCCGUUCUUGUUUGUGUUACGUGCGACUGUUUUGAGGGCUUCCGAAUCAGAUUGAGAGCCCUAAUGUGGCAGUCCGGGAUGCAGUCGGUGUCUUUGUCCAAGAUGGUGAGAUCUUCUGGUUCGGCUCGUGUUCCUCCGUAAUGACCUCCCACGGUGUGAUUUGGCCAGAUCCAUCCCCUUCUCAUAUUAUUUGGGGUGCAUGAAAUGUGGACUACGUAUACAAGAUUGCAGCAUCAUGAAAUGGUUUGAUACUUGGCUUGGUAGGUCCAAAGCUAAUGUUUCAUUUUCUUGUUUUGCAAAAUCUUACGACUAUUUGACUACACCAAGAUAACUAUGUAUGCUCCUGAAAAAAAUCAUUCUUUUCUUCUGUAGUUUGAUUACAAGUGUUCCCUAUAACUUCUAUUAUAUACUGCAUCUGAAGUAGAAAAAUGUGCUUAUCUGUGGAUUUGUAGCGAAUAAUUAUUUCUUUGUAGGAGUACCUAAGUAACAUGGUAGACUGAUAGUCAAGCUGAUCCUUGCAUAUAAAUUAGAAUGAUUUAUCGAAUAUCUCACACCUUUAUAUAAUAUCUUGGUAGCUAAGAUGGUAAAGGAAUUGUUUUACAUUAGUAGCGAUCGAUACAAGAAAUAUUAUCUCUGCCAUUUGGUUUUACCAGUCUUUUAAGUCAUUAGACUCAAUGAUGGUAAACAUCGGAGUUCCAAGUAUAAGUUUCAGAACAUGAGCUACUGUUUUUCAUGCCUCGGGCACUGACUGUCAAUGUAUUUGGAGCAGAUAUGCUUUACCAUGCAAUAUUUCAACAUUUAAACAAACCAUCUUUGGUUUAUCAACUGGAGUUAGUAACACAAACCGUGAGAUUGUGCGGAGAAUCCCUCAUGGAUAUAUCAAUUCCAUGUGUUCAUGGAACAGUUCUAGCCUAAAUAUAAUGUCCCUUCCUUUAAUCUUAUCUAGCUGCCUUUGUUUCCUUUAAGCUUUCAUGCCUUCCUCGAUUGAUAUGUACGGUACAUUGGCCACUGUUCACCUCUCCGUCGGUGUUCCCUGCUAAAUUUUCUUCUAGAUGUCCGAUUAAAUCGCCACACGCCAUCUGGGGUUUGCCCUUUGGCGUGAUUUCACCACCAGUUGGAAUGUCUAUCGUCUCUCAGCCAUACGCCGUUGCGAACUGCCACCACGCACUUCAUGUGUAUGUGAAAGGUUCAGAAUUAUACAGCGGCGAGGGCCUCGCGUUCGAGCCGACCAGGCUGCGGGAGAGGUGGGCGAGGGAGCGGAGGGAGGAGGCCGAGAGCCUGGCGGACCUCGGGAUGCCCGUGAAGAGGGCCGGGGCACGGAAGCCGCGCCUCGCGUUGCCAAUGUGUUGGCCUCAGCUGAUUUCCUGGGAAUCAUGUGUGGAGAUGAAAAACUUCAAAAAUUGUUGGGUCAUUUCCAGAAGGACUAUGAAGGUGGAGUAUGUGCUGAGAACUCGGGGUCACAAAUGGGAGGUUAUGGUUCAUUCUUGUACCCCCAGCGUUCUCUGUCUGUUAUAUCUCAAUCUAGAAGUCCUGCAGUUCCUCCAAACCAUGGCAAUGCCUCUAGAUCACCUUAUGUUCCAGUGGAGAGUGCACAGAAGAGUCAUUUUGUCAAGACUGAAUUAGAUAGCAGGGGAAAAGAUGAUUAUUGUCGAUGAACAUCGAAUGGGAUCAAUGGUAAUCCUCAUCAACAGAUUUUGAACAGAGCAGUCAAUGGUCCUGAGCAAAAGGCACCUAAAAUACGUAUCAAGGUGAACAGCAGUAGAAGUUUGGCAAGAAAUACUGCUGCUGUCUACAGUGGUCUGGGCCUCGACAUUUCUCCUUCAUCCUCUAUGGAUGACAGCCUUGGUGGGAGCGCUGGAGAUCCUGAGCCCAAAAAUUUACCAGAUGCAUCUCCGCAUACCAUUUUACAGAUAAUGACCUGCCAUCCUAUUCCUGGAGGACUCUUGCUUUCACCACUUGCAGAUAAUAUUAUGGCGCUGAGAAAAAAGACAGCAUCUGUAACAAAGGAACAUGAAGCACCUGAAUUUGAUUAUGACAAAGCAGAACUGAACAGAGACUGGUGUCCCACGACCUCUGCUGCAGGAGAUAACAAAAAUAAGGUGUCAAAUAAAAAUAAGUAUGUUGAAAAGAAAGAUCACCUCCCAAGUAUCAAGAAUUCACAAUGCAGACAUAAUGAUUCAACAAUUGUGAAUAAGGGGACUAUGCAUCAGUUACUGGAUAUGUCAGAUGAUGCAGGUUCAGUCCUCUUACCUAGAAGCAUGAAGACAGAACAACAUUCAGUUGAGGAAUCAGAAAAAUUGGUGGCUGAUAUUCCGAAUCACCUGAAGGAAACAAAGAAUGGUCCACUGAAAGCACGAGGCAUGAGUUUGCCAUACUUGAUAAGGAAGAGAAUAUAUGAAGCUAGGCCAAAGUUAGGGACCGACACUGCUGCUAGCUCAUGUGGAACGGGCAACAAACCAAACCAGAAGUUGGUCUGAUGUAUCUGCAAAUGCUGUAUGUGUAUAAGGUCAUGUUAUCUUCAUGACGGGCUCGGCUGCAGGGGCUAGGUGAGAGCUCAUCAGUAUAUGUUAGUAAUGCUCACUACCUCGGCAUCCACUGGUACUUGGUGCGACUUCCAUACAUCAUCAAGCUAGCGAGAUGGGCUCACCGCCUUGACAGCAUCAAGCUAAUGUGAUGCCCUUAUUAUUUGCCUAUAUGCUUUCGCUGGAUGUGUCUUCUAUGCUGCGGCAUUGACCUGCUGUUGUAGCUACGUAGAUAGGGCUAUGUAAAAGUUAUUUUGUGUAAGUGCAGUACAUCCUCUGGCUGAUUGGGAGGCUUGUAAGACAAUCCUUCAUCCAGACCCUAUGUUGAGAAUACGGGCUUAGCUUUAUAUGCUCUUUAACUACUCCUAUGCAUGACACGAACUGUUGCCCAGGAAGAAUUUUUGUUGAUACACUUUC
Lolium rigidum is the source of this 3143-nucleotide RNA transcript. It is a transcript of the gene named cysteine-tryptophan domain-containing zinc finger protein 5-like, with no coding region annotated. NCBI's taxonomy places the organism in Eukaryota, Viridiplantae, Streptophyta, Magnoliopsida, Poales, Poaceae. The transcript has 12 exons. The record is from RefSeq and is a predicted model, not a curated record.